GGUAGAACCAACACAAUACUACCCGCCAGAGAACUACAAGUGAAAAGCUAGAAACUCUAAGGACUUGGCGGUGCCUUAAACCAACCUAGAGGAGCCUGUCCUAUAAUCGAUACUCCACGCUAAACCUUACCACUUCUUGCCAAUCAGCCUAUAUACCGCCGUCGUCCAGCCUACCUCGUGAGAGCCCCACAGUAGGCAAAACAGUUAACAACUAAUACGUCAGGUCAAGGUGUAGCACAUGAAGUGGAAGCGAUGGGCUACAUUUUCUGCCACAGAAAACACGAACGCCACAAUGAAACUUGUGCCCGAAGGUGGAUUUAGCAGUAAGAUAUAUAAGAAACAAUACCUUAAACCCUGCUCUGAGGCGCGC
This 370-nucleotide ribosomal RNA is filed under the name Eumeces schneideri pavimentatus. RNAcentral describes it as "partial 12S ribosomal RNA". It matches the Rfam family "Bacterial small subunit ribosomal RNA", at positions 845 to 1384 of the family's 1533-position model. Lineage: Eukaryota; Metazoa; Chordata; Lepidosauria; Squamata; Scincidae. The record is from RNAcentral.